Molecule: ribosomal RNA, 565 nt
Filed under: Russula sp. r-07045
Lineage: Eukaryota; Fungi; Basidiomycota; Agaricomycetes; Russulales; Russulaceae
Description: eukaryotic LSU rRNA
Rfam family: 5.8S ribosomal RNA (bases 140-293)
Source: RNAcentral
GCCCGAGCGCUCUCGCACAAUCCAUCUCACCCCCUUGUGCAUCACCGCGUGGGUCCUCCUCCUCGGGAGGGCUCGCGUUUUCACACAAAACUCGAUACAGUCCAGAACGUUUGUUUAUGCGGUCACACGCAAUCAAUACAACUUUCAACAACGGAUCUCUUGGCUCUCGCAUCGAUGAAGAACGCAGCGAAAUGCGAUACGUAAUGUGAAUUGCAGAAUUCAGUGAAUCAUCGAAUCUUUGAACGCACCUUGCGCCCCUUGGCAUUCCGAGGGGCACACCCGUUUGAGUGUCGUGAAAUUCUCAAAACCCUUUUCUUUGACCGGAAGAGGACUUUUGGACUUGGAGGUUCCAUGCUCGCUUUCGCCUUUGAAAGCGAGCUCCUCUCAAAUGAAUUAGUGGGGUCCGCUUUGUCGAUCCUCGACGUGAUAAGAUGUUUCUACGUUUUGGAUUUGGCACUGUCUUUCGGAAGGCCCGCUCCUAACCGUCCCAUGGACAAACGAUGGUGCUCCGGUCCGCCGCCGAAUCUACGUUCGCGGUGGGCUCGACCCACGACGAAACCCUUGA